Sinocyclocheilus anshuiensis is the source of this 577-nucleotide long non-coding RNA. RefSeq lists it as uncharacterized. Lineage: Eukaryota; Metazoa; Chordata; Actinopteri; Cypriniformes; Cyprinidae. The record is from RefSeq and is a predicted model, not a curated record. The transcript is spliced from 4 exons.
AGACAGAAUUCUGACCCUGUUAGAGGGCCGAGGAGAAGGAGGGUGCAAACACGGCAUGUAACAUUCAGAGUUGGCCUCAUCCUCCUUCCUGAUUUGGAAACAUUCCAUCCCCAAAAAGUGGAAGCUUUAAAAAAAAUUCAGGUGCCAGUGUCUCUAUCGGCCGAGGAGUUCCUUGAUGUUCCGAAAACUGCUUUUCCAAGACUGGGCAGCACUGAUUUCGACUUGGCCAGGGUUGAUUGUCAUAAAAAAAUUAGAAGACUUAAUGUUUCUCCACUUUCACCAUCUGUGCUGAAAGCCAGCGGAGCGCUAAAUCGGUCAGCUCUGUAUCUACUCCCAAAGGAGCGUUUGGAAGGGCAGGCUGAAGAACGGCAAGAAGAGUGUCAUGAUGAAGGCAGCGGCUCUGGCCAAAGCCUGGACCAAGAUGAUGUAGGCAAAACCUGUUUCUAGAUUUGUGUACUUCAUACUAGUGGUGUAACGGAUCACAAAACUCACGGUUCGGAUCAUAUUGCGGUUUUCGAGUCACGGAUCAGAUCAUUUUUAGGAUCAGAAAAAUAAAUAAAUAAAAUACAAAUAAAAA